CAAAGAAGUCGUGGCGAAUUUGAAAAUUCUGCUCGCCAUUUUGACUCGAAGCUUAGCAAGAAAUUCAUAUUUUAAAAGCAUUUUAUCAAACUUUAUCGAAAUAAAAUAGUUAUGCCAUGCAAGGGGACAGGUUAGUAUUAAACUUAGCUAUAUUUUAAACGUUUGUGAGCUGUUCUUGUCAAGUUCUAGCCGUGUUUUGAAACACGUGCUACAAAUUCAUUGAAUUACUUCGCCUCCCAUCCACGCGCUUCUUUAUCGUUUAGUCGCUUCAUUUCCUUCGUAUUUCUCCCAAAUUUUCUCGCAAUAAUGUUCAGAAAAACCCCAGCUUUGAUUGAUAUAACUCUUAUUUGUUUUAUCUACUUUUUCAGACAACAAUUCGACGAGAAAGUUGACAAAGUUUACUGAUUUAAUUAAGUCGCCGACCUGCCGAAGACUCGAAGCACAAGGUAAGCAUAUAUGGCCCCGCAUCAAUGGGGUGGGGGGUAAAUAGGUUUUCGGAUCAUCGGAUUUCACAGAAAAAAUUGUUCGGAUUUCGGAUCUAGCGAAUAUUUUCCACAGAUUUGCGGAUCUUAUUAAUACAGCGGAUUGCAGAUUUAUCUAAUAUUUUGGCUCUGAUUGUGGAUUUAGCUUGCAAUUGGCUUACUGUAGUUUACGAAACGAAACGAAAUCUGCACUUUGCGAAAUCUGCAGUUUGCGAAAUCUGUAAUUUGCGAAAUUAGUCAUUGGCGAAAUCUGCAGUUUGCGAAAUCUGUAAUUUGCGAAAUAUCUAUAGUUUAGGGUAAAAUAAAAAAUGUUCACAUCUUCACAUAAAAAAUGUUUCCAAGGGCGAGGCGUCAGCAGUACAAUUAAAUUCUGUGUAAGUUAACCCAUUAAGCGCCAGCGCUCUCCCCUUGACGAGUAAAAUCGUCUGGCGUUAGACAGAGUAAAAUACUAAAGUAGGGUGCAUCAGGGUGCAAUGCGACUCAAUGGGUUAACCUAGUUAAUUAAGAACCUACCUGACUACACAAAGUCAUAAUUGCGAUAAAAUGUUAUCACAAUAAAUUGCUUUACUUGUAUUAGUUAUAUUUCAGUGUCAGUGUCAAAUAAACUUCUUUAUAUAAUUAUAUAUCUGAGACUGCAAAAUGUAAAAGUUUAAGAUUGAAAAUACACCAUUGCGCAGCGAACGAGUGAGAUAUUGUUUUUGACACGAGAACAUAAAUCCAUAUCUUUUCGCAACUGUUUAAUGUUCUGUUUAAUGUUCUGUUUAUUAUAUGGACUUACUCCGAGUGACAAAAAUACACACAAAGACGACAUGUAAAUAAGCACGCGAAAGACCAAUUAACAUCUCUCAAGAGUAGAAUUGCAUUGCAAGUUGCAAGAAAAAUUGCACCGUGUAACAUGGCCUUUAGCAUUCGACGUUUUGUUCUGGGACGUUAUGUUCUAAGUAAUCAAACAUUGCAAAUUUUUUUGGGACACCCGGGGUUAGGGUUGGGUGAUAUUUUGAUAUUUUGAUUUAUCGCGAUAUUUUCAUUCCCGAUUAUCAUGUCGAAGGUAGAAACUUGAGCGACGAUAUAUCAAAAUUAUCGUCAUGCUCGAUGACUAUCAUUAUAUUGCUUCGCAUGUGUAUAUAGAUUUUAUAAAAUCCUAAAAAAUUCUAAUAUUUAUGUAUCAAUCCGCUGAACAAUGAAAUUGCAAUGAAAUACACAGCAUUUGUGCCAGGGGAGACACAGUAUAGACAAUUCUCAAUUCUGGUUUAUGAGCAGUAAAUAUUAGACUAGAAAAAGCCUUCAUAUUACUUUGAUUUGUUGUUUUACUUUUUUUUAAUAAGAUUAUAUAUAAGCUUACUAUGCUUUGAUAUAAUUAAAAUUGAAAAAUGUGGCCAUUGUUGUUUUUUUUUGUUUUUUUUUUUAAUGAUUUGCCCAUGUGAUAUACCAUUAUGUUACAUAAAAAAUAAAAAUAAAGUAGAUACAUUUGGGCUAGGAGUCUAUAGAAACCUUGAACAGGCUUUUGGAUUUAGACCCCUAGUUUAAAGUCUUGGUGCUAAUAUAUGUAGUUAAAUUGUCAUCGGUACUAAGUAUUUACAAAAAGUGAGAUUAUGUUACAUUCAAUAUUUGUAGGAGAGUAUUUACUAUUAAUAAUUAAAAUGAGAAGCUCGAGUUAAAUAUCUAUUUACAUGAAGAGAAAUUACUGUUAAAGUGUUUUAUAAGAUUAAUUACAUAGAAAGUGUAUUUUGGAUUUUUUCUUAAAAAUGGGACGUGAUGUUAUUAUUUUUAAAUUACUGUCAAGAUUAUUCCAAACGUCCACCCCUUUCACUGAAAGCGAGUGCUUGACGUAGUUAGUUCUCUGAUAAGACUUAUGAAGUUUAGUUGAGUUUCGAGUGUUGUAUUGGUGAAUUUGGUUAUUUGAAAUAAAAAAGUUUGUGAAGAAUUUUGGCAAGUUGUUUAAAUGAUGAUAUCUGAACAUGAAAAGACUUGUAAGGUAGUUAUUUAAUUAGCUUACUGAGAUUCAAGAUCUGUAGGUCAAUAAAUAUUUUUUCAGUGUGAGAAAAAUUGGACUGAAAUGUCAUAAGACGAAUUAUUUUCUUUUGAAUAUUUAUUAACUUUUGAAUUAUGGUUUUGUAUGUGUUACACCAUAUUAGAUUGCCAUAGAUUAGAUAUGGAUAGACUAAAGCAUAAUAUAUUAGUUUUAAAGUAUUCAAAUUUGUAAAAUGACGAAUUUUUGCAAUAAUUCCUGCAGAUUUUACAAUUUUCUUUGCAACAGAAUCGAUAUGAUCGUUCCAUGAUAAACAUUCAUCAAUAACUACUCCUAAAAAGGUUGUAGUUUUGACUUGUUUGAUAUCGUCGUUAUUGAUGGACAACUUCACUACGUGUUUCUUUUUCUUUUUUGAGGAUCGAAAUAAAAUAAAUUUGGUUUUUAAUGUGUUGAUAGAUAGUUCGCUUGUGUUUAGCCAUUCGGCUAUUUUGUUCACUUCCGUCUGAAGAGUUUCAUUUAGUGUUUUGAGGCAUGAGUGACUGUAAAAUAUAUUUGUAUCAUCAGCAAACAAUAGCAUUGAUGCUAUAUCACUACAGUUUUGAAUAUCGUUUAUAUAGAGGGAUAAAAAGUAGCGGACCCAAUAUUGAACCUUGCGGGACCCCAGUUUGUACUAUCAUUUCGCUUGACAUUAUUUGUUUAUAUUUAACAAUUUGUUUCCUGUUUGUAAGAUAAUUUUUAAACCAAAGUCUUGCUAUGCCACGAAUUCCGUAAUAUUCUAAUUUACUGAUCAGAAUCUUGUGAUCAAUGGUGUCAAAUGCUUUUGACAAAUCUAAGAAAAUACCUAUGGUGUAUUUUCCGUGAUCGAUUUCUUUUGUAAUUUUAUUAACAAGUUCGAUUAUUGCAAGUUCAGUUGAUCUGUUUUUUCUGAAUCCAUAUUGAUGGUCAGAUAAAAUAUUAUUUUUUCCAUGUAUUUUAUUAGUCGUUUGUACAUUAAUUUUUCAAGUAAUUUAGCGAAACAAGUUAAAACUGAUAUUGGUCUAUAGUUUUCAAAUUUAUUUUCUUCAUUUGAUUUGAAUACUGGUGUUACCAGAGAAGUUUUAAUCUGUUCAGGAAUAAUACCUGUAGUAAAUGUCAGAUUAAAUAUAUGUGCAAGUGGUUUUGAUACUUCCUUACUUACUUGUUUAAUCGUUCUAGCACUCAGACCAUCAUACAGGGUCUUAGCUAGGAUUUUAGAUCUUGGGCGUGUUUCUAAUGACCAGGGCGUGCACAUGUCAAUUAUUUUGAAUAGCAAAAUCACGGUUCUAGUUAUGCUCGCCAACAACAACUAUGCUUGUGGACUGUUGUGGUUCUAUGCUUUGCAACCAAAUACAAGACGAGCAUACGCUCAUAUUGCGCACUGAGAUUAAAAUAUUAAGUUAUUUCAGCAACUCUUGGGGGUAUUUAAAACCAUUUUAACACCGUACAGUUCCCAUUAUCCAUCAAAAUAUUAAAACAUCACGGAUCAUUUUUGCCAAUUCAACAACAACAGUAGAUUUUACAAACUUUCUUAUGACGUAAAUAGGAAGAAAUUCUGUCUGUUGUAAGUAGCACCACCUUAUUUAUGAACCUACACGGCCUUAUAUAAAAAUAGUAAAGCCGCGUUAAUUUUAUCAAGCCGUGUUUUUCCGCUUUUGGCCGCGAUAACACGGCCAACACGGCCCUCUAGCUAAGACCCUGCCAUCAUACCCUGGGCUUUUAUUCGAGUUCAAAUUGUUUAUUUCACUUUGUACCUCAAAUUCUGUUAUCGGAUCAAGAAACAUGCUGUUUAGAUAAUUAUGAGUCAGAUAUUUGCUAAAAUUUGUAUUGGAUGUAUUUGUAAUUUCUUUGCUAGGUUAGGGUCCUAUAUUGACGAAGUAGUUAUUAAAUUUAUUUGCAAUUUCAAACUGAUCUUUAAUAGUAUUUGUUGUAUUCAUAUCAGUAAAUUCUUUCGGAAGUUCUUUUUUAUUUGUUUUUUUCUACUUAGUAUCUCAUUUAUUGUUUCCCACAUCAUCUUUGAAUCAUGUUUAUAUGUAAUUAGUUCUUGUUCAUAAUAUUUCUUUUUGGACAAUCGAAUUACAUGAUUGAAUCGAUUUUUAUAUUUUUUGUACAAAUUCUCAUUUAUUUUAUUUGGAUCAGAUAAAUAGUUACUGUAUAAUUUAUUUUUCCUUUUGAUUGACUUUAAAACACACUUUGUCAUCCAGGGGCUUUUGUACUUGUUAAUCUUCUGAUUUACUUUCAUUCUUUUAAUUGGAAAAUGUUUAUCAUAACUAGCUGUGAAUAAUGUGGAAAAUUGGUUAAAAGACUCGUUUGAGUUAUUGCAAGAAAUCGUUCCUUCCCAACAUACAUUUUUAAUUUCAUCUGUGAAAAGCCUACAAUUAUUUUUAUUGCAUUUAUCGCGAUAUUAUCGAAUAUCGUGAUAAUUUCCUUGACAAUAAUCGUGAGAUGAUUUUUUUAUUAUCGCCCAACCCUACUCGGGAUAGAGUCAUCCUUUGUAAAGCGAUGAUUGGGCUAAGAAAAUUUCAAUAUGUCAUUGCUGUUGAAAUGAGUUAAUUCAUCACUAAGGGCUGCUCAUAAUUUAUUGUACAGGGGGAGACUGAGGAGAAACUCUACAAUUAUAAUAUUUCUCGUUGCCUCCCUCUUAAGACAAGUAAAAUUUUCAAAGCCCCCCGCCCCUCUAGCUUUUUAUUAAUUUUGGUCCCCCCCCCCACCUCUAGCUUUUUAUCUUUAUUUAGAGAAACAAAAACUCUAGCUCUUUAUUUAGAGAAACAAAAAGAGAUAAUGGGGACCAAUAGACAAUUCCCAUUAUAGACUAAUUUUUUAUCUUAGCAAAAAGUAUAUUCCCGGGAAGGGUAUACUAAAAUUAAUAAAAUUGCAAAGUUUGGUUGUGCAAUGUUGUAAAAUGUAGGAAAUAUAGCCUUCCAAAGUUUGCAAAUUUUGUAUACUUUUGCAUUGCAAUUUUCGCAUGCAAUACAAAAGUAUACAAAAUUUGCAAACUUUGCAAGGCUAUAUUUUCCGUAGCUAUAGUGACUUAUUUGCAUCAAGGCCGGAUUUUGAGGGGAGUUGUGUGGAGAGAUGCGCACCCUGCCCUGAGAUCGUUUUGCAUCUCCCCUGAGAGUUUUCGCACCUCCUGAAAGGUCAUGCACCUCCCCUUGGGAAAGUUUCAAUGAUGGAACAAAGUGAAAAUGUGAUGGUUGCUUAGGAUCUACACUUUGUGACGUAAGAAAUUUUUCUCUGGAAAAUUGAAACAGUGAUAGCCAUUCAUCUCAGUGUCAAGUACCCUUUUAAUGCAAUGUUUUGAAAGAAACUUUGUAGCAAUUGUAAUGAAGGGUGAGAUUGGAGUCAUACAGUCAUAAUUCAUUAAUACACUGGUAUAUAUGUACACUACAUGCAUACCUCACCUCGUUGAUAUUGGCUGUUGUACAAUAAACCCUAACUUUCCAUGGGGGUUGUGAGCUAGACCGCUGCACCUCCCCUAAAAUUUUUUCCACCUCUUCCCACUAUUUUCACCAAAAUCUGGCCUUGAUCUAAAAUUAGUCUAUAAUGUCUAUUUACAUGAACAUAUUACGAAAGUCACCGAACUGUGGAAUCGCAUCAAAAAUUGGUAUAUCGACCACUCCCACAAACGCCUACGACCGCGCCUACAUAGUUUUGCAUGUUUACAAUUCUAAUUUUGAACAGCCAAUCAGGUUCUUGGUAACAACUACAAUUAAACGUCGAUUGACUGUUUAAAAUUAGAAUUGUAAACAUGCAAAACUAUGUAGGCGCGGUCGUAGACGUUUGUGGGAGUGGUCGAUAUACAAAUUUUUGAUGCGAUUCCACAGUUCGGUGACUUUCGUAAUAAGAGACUUUUUGUUUGACUUCCAUUUAAGAAUAUUAAAGGUCUAUAAACAUUGUUAUUUGUUGUUAAGUUGUUUUGUUACAUUUUUAAAACUGUUUUUUCAAACUGGUAAAUCUUUUCAAAGACCCCUAUCUUUCGUCUCUCUGUAAGUUUUCAAAGCCCCCCUUUCAGUAUUUCACAUUUCACGCCAACAAAUAUCAAAUUGUGGGGGCCCCUGUUGACUGUUAUUGUUUGACUGAGAUCCUAUAUUUAUGUUGAAUAUUUAUCAGUAGAAUGGAAAGUUCCAUGUCUGUAACAAUGAUAAUAACAGUCUUCAACACAUGUAACAACUUUUAAGAAUAACUUUUGUUCUAUUUGAGAUGGAAUACCGUCGUCGAUGGAGGGUUUAUUAUUUAGCAUUAUUAAUUUUGUAUUUUUCCAUUGAUUCGUAAACCUGCAUUUUGUACGUUUUCAGUCUAAUUUUCUGGGCGAUAGGCCGUGGCUGAUGGGGGCCCCUAGUUUUUGAACUAACCCUACCUAGUGAGCGUUACGCCACUGUCACCACGGCUCGCGAAAAUACCCUUUCCCACCCUCAUGUAUGUAUGUUGACCGAGCCUGGUUACAUGAUGUAACGGUAUUGCUUUAUCCAGUGCUGUAUACUGGUCAGUGGCUCAGACAACUUCGGAUUGUCCCGAUGUUGGCCCGAAGAGCAUAUUCUUAUUUAAUGCUGUAUUUUUGUUUUUCAAAAUGUUUAGUGAGCAAAGAUUGUUGUGUCACAGUCGUGGUUGGGUCAAACAAUAUGCGGAAAGCAAAAAUAGCGAAGGAAAGAGAUUAAAAUUAUAUUGGAUUUAGUUUUACUACCAAAUAUGGUAGUCCCCUCGUCCAUGACCUUGUGACGUCAGGUACAUACGGGACUUCGAGCAUAAAGUUUUUGGCGGGAAAAUUUGUAAGGUUUGGAGAAGACAAGAUGGCGCUGGUUACUUCGUUUCAUCAAAUGGAAUUUUUGUUCACAAAUACCCGCUUAUUUUACGUUAUAACGACUGUUUAUUUUUUGAAAUUAUAACUCAAUGGACAGGGAAAACAAUUCUGUAGUAAAGAGAAAAAGACGUGCAGCUAUUGUGAUGUUAUUUGUUGUGAAAGACGGCCCGAAAUUUCGCUGCAUCGCUGAGCGCCCUGAGCCUGUACUGAUUUAUAAAAAAAUUACAAGCAACAGCAAUUGCAACUAUAUGACGAAAAAACCAAAUACCAAUGUGUACAAGCCAAUCAAGUCCAACGUAUUGUCAUCUUUGGAUGUGUGAAAUAAGUUCAGUUGGAUUUGCAGAUGAAGCACUAAAGCACAUGGAAGGUCAGUUUUAAUUAGUUUUAUAUUAAGUAUAUUAUUGUAUACUAUUAUACAAGAAUGAUUUGAAAAUUUUCCUUCAAUGGUUGCUUUUUAUUGGUCGAAAGUUAAAUAUUGUUUUGACAAGAGAAAUGUUUCACAACAAUUUUCAGGAUGUUUAGAAAAUUUUUGGGCUUGGUUUGAAAUUCAAACCAAGCCAGGUUUGAAUUUUGAAAUUCAAACCAAGUCCAAAAAUCUACAAAAAACCGUUCUGCUCCCCUACUCUCCACUAAUAAACAUAAAAGGGCUGGGUGGGUGGGAUACUGUCGAGCCAUGCUGAGCAACAACAAAAAUAUGCUCAAAUAACCUGCACCACCCCAUAACACCCUGAUUUCAUCAGGCCCCCAGCAGUGUGUGAGAAAACAUUUUCCGCUUCUUUCGUGCCUCAGCCAGCGGAAAAUAACACUUUUUCUGUCAACACUAUUAUUUUUUCAACGUGAUUGACCAUGCAACCUUAUUUUCUCCGGGUGGUUGCGGGUUGCUGCCAAAAUGGCGUCUGUUGUCACGCUAAUUAUUGAAAAAACCAUGAAAAAAUAUUUUUAAAAAAAAUUUCCGACCUACCGACCCAAAUUUUUUGCGAUAUGAAACCGGAACCACAGGUAUUUUAUUUUAAGCCUUGGGUGGGAAAUGAUCUGAUACCAAUCUUCUAAACAUUCUAACUCUGAAUUUUUUGAAAAUUUCCUGUGGUCCGCCUCCUCAGUGCUCAGCCUAGAUCUUGAUUUUUGCCUGUGGUCUCUCUUUGCAUUUGAUCCAAAUUUUUCAAAACUGUUUUUUAUCAAUUGAAUGUGAUUAUUUUGAUGAGAGAACAUUUCUUGUGCUGCCCCAGGGUGCAUUUUAAGUGCAAUGUGCCGAAGAUCUUUGAAACAAUUAUUCCCCUAAGGGAAAGUGAUUACCUGUGAAUAUUAUACCUCAAAUUCAAAUUGCCCAAUGAAAAAACAUUUGCACCACAUGACAAUGUGAUUUUUUACAGUAUUUCACUCAAAUUCAUGAUUUUGCAAUGCAGCGUGAGAUAUAGAGAAUAUUAAUACAUGGUGCGCAGAAAUACCAGAUUUAUUUCGAGUGUUGAAGAUGAUAACAUAUAUACAUAUUGUUUAUAGACCCUCUGCUCGGGGGUUUGGAGAAAUAUUACCCUCAGUGACAGUGAUGAUAUUUCCUCGGGAAAUGGGUAAUAUUCCGCCGAAUUCGGGUAAUAUUCCGGCGAAUCCCCCUCGCUCCGGGUCUAUAAAUGAUAAAUAUGCACCGAGACAAAGUCGAGUCACUGAGCCUGGGGCGAAUAAUUGUUUUAGUAUAAAUGUUUAAAAUUAAUGAAUAAAACAAUAUAUCCAAAUAUCAGUUCAAUUAAAAUUCAGAAAUAAAACUUUUUUCGGCCUAUAAUUGUGACUAAAGCCGGUUUUCCAUUUCAAGUGUAACAACAUAUAUCAAAAAGUUCUUGAAUGUUGAUUGGUUAGUACUUCCAAAGUAUGCCAAAAAGUUGACUUGCAACAAACUUUUUAUUUUGAUACGUAAAUCCACCCGGAAGUACAUGGAUUUAUAAACCUCUUUUCAAUCUGCACAUGCUCACCAGUAUGUUUCAGUAUGAUACGGGCGAAGUGGAAAACCAGCUUAAUUUUAAUAUAGUGUUGCAGAAUGUUGCAGUAUUUCUUGUGUGCAUAUGCUUUCAAAAUGGCUUUUUUGUUAGUAAUUGUUACUUUAUUACAAAGUUGUUUUCCUCCAUUUCUGUUUAGAAUACAAACACAAUAACGGAAUAACAUUUUCAACAGACUUAGAAUUAAAACAUAGUUUCUGUUUAGAAAUGGCUGAGAAAUUUGGUAAAAUAAAAUGUAAAACUAUAUUGUUUGAAAUAAAGCUUUAAUAACACUUUUAACUUAACAAGUUUCGAAAACACAAUGCAGUGGUCAGAACAACAUACAACACAAUGAAAACAUGACAUAUCAAAAGAAAUAGUAUCGAACAAAUUGAGAAAUCUGUAGGAUACAAAAAAUGGAUUUAAAGGAAUAUCAUUUCAAGGUUUUUCCCAUCAGUCGGGAUAGUUUUUGUUAUUUGUUUUUGCUGAGUAAAUGUUUCAAAGUUUUAAAUAAGUUUUAUAUUGUCUGUGAAUAUGUUUGACACAGUAAAAUAUAGGAAUACUACCUUUCAAGAUGAAUACAACAUUUUCAAGAUAAAUACAACAUUUUGUGCUUCUUUCGUUUUCUGGGGACGAUUUUUUCAAUAUUUUGAAAACAAAUUUGCCGAAUCAUUAUUUUUGAAAAGCAUUUACUAGUCUGCUAGCCAAUCAGAAUGUGCAAAAGCUCCUUCAGAAUGUGCGAAAGCCAUUUCAUAUGCAAAAUUUAUACCACAGAUGAAGUAUAUACCAGAUGUGUAACUUAAUUAAUAGGAAUUUGUGUCCUCAAAUUUCCCUAGAUGUACACGUCAUGCUCACGCCAUAACACUUGCUAGGAAGAUGGCGUCCUGGAAAACAUGAACUUUUAACAGUAAUUGUUUUGAUGAGAGAAAUGUUUCUUGACAAUUUUCGGAAAGUUUGUAAGAUUUUGGGGCACUUGUUGAAUUUUGGGAAAAUUUAAAACAUUUUUAUUGGUCGAAACUAAUUGUUUUGAUGAUGAGAGAAAUGUUUCUUGACAAUUUUCAGAACAUUUUGAAGAUUUUGAGGCACUUUCCUGUGGCCCCCACUGUGCCAAGUCUAGGGUUGCCCGUAAUAGGUUUCCUGUGUACCUUUGCUUUUUACAAAUGCCAAUGCGGCAUAGGAAUUAUAAAUUCUGAAUAAUAUUUUGUAUGCCAAUAAGAUUUAAAUUUCCUAAGGGAAUUAUUGACAUAGAAAUUAUACAUUUGGGAAAAUAAUUUUGUUUGCUGCAUUCAAUCUAUUGACCAAUCAGGGAGAUUCUUUUGUAAAUACCCACAACCAAUCAGAAGUCUGUAUUUUUAUGCUAAAAGAGAAAUAGCAUUCCAGAGUAAAUUGUAUUCAAAUAUAUAUUUUUAAAUUUAGGGUGUGUUGUAGCUCUAUAUUUCGCCGUCCUGGUGUAGUUUACUCGAAGUCCUCGCCUGUUUGUGAAAAGAAGUACAUUAAAGAUCAAGCAUAACAUCCGAAGCUAAAGGCAUUAAGGUAUGUUCUGUUUCUAUCAAUUUGAUGUGAAAUGUUGAUAUUUUAGCAAGUUAGUCAAAUUUGACUUUUGCAAGUCAGUCGCUUAAGGCCAUGUUACACUGUGCAAUUUUUCUUGCAACUUGCAAUGCAAUUCUACUCUUGAGAGAUGUAAAAUUACCAAAUACGAGUUUUCAUUACUGAUGUUUUCUCAACAUAUCGAAAAUUCUUCACAUAUUUCGGUAAUUAACAUCUCUCAAGAGUAGAAUUGCAUUGCAAGUUGCAAGAAAAAUUGCACCGUGUAACCCGUGGCAUAACGCGGCCUUUAGCAUUCGAUGUUUUGUUCUGGGACGUUAUGUUACAUUUAUUUAAUUAAAUCAAACAUUGCAAAUUUUUUUGGGACACCCAGGAUUAGGGUUGGGUGAUAUUUUGAUUUAUCGCGAUAUUUUCAUUCGCGAUUAUCAUGUUGAAGGUAGAAACUUGAGCGACGAUGUAUCGAAAUUAUCGUCAUGCUCGAUGACGAUUAUAUUGCUUCGCAUUUGUAUAUAGGUUUUAUAAAAUCCUAAAAAAUUCUUUCAAUUCCUAGAAAAUAUAGUUUUUAAAAGAAUUAAAAUUAUUUCCUGAAUGUAAUAUGAAUUUAAGGUGGCUCCCUAGGGUUUUUUAAUUUACUACACUAUAGUAUUCAGGAGACUCCUGUUUCUUUACUUUACAUGAUAUGAAGACGAAAUUUAUUGGACACAUUGACAAUGUUCUCCUGAACAUUGCAAAUUGCUACUUCUCACACACUGCUUGGAGCUGCUGCAGCGUCAGCCGCAAGCUUGACAUUUAUUAAUUUAAACUACCAUACAUUACAAUUGCUCGCUUAAUAAUUACCCUAACAGGUACAUAUAUAUCCAAUCCAACGCCGUUCUGUACUAAUAAACAUAAAAGGGCUGGGUGGGCGGGAUACUGUCAAGCUACGGUGAGCAACAACAAAAAUAUGCUCAUAUAACCUACACUACCUUGUAACACCCUGAUUUCAUCAGGCCCCCAACAGUGUGUGAGAAAACAUUUUCCACUUCUUUCGUGCCUCAGCCAGCGGAAAAUAACACUUUUGUGUUUAAAAAUAUGUUGCCAUGGCAACAGCAUGCUUAGAAUAAAGUUCAAAAUAUGUCUUUUUCAGGUCAUUUUAAAAUUUCCUUAGGUGAAAUUUUUUAAAACUUUGCAUAAAAGAUAAUACAAUUUAAAAAAAUUAAAUCGAUACGUUUCUUAGAAAACUUAAAAAACGUCAAAAAUCAAUAUUAAAAAUUUUCCCUUCGAUUUAAUUUUAAGGAAAAAGGAUAUUGCACUUGUUGUGCCGAUAUUAAAAAAUGUGCAAAGUUUUAAAAAAUUUUACCGAAGGAAAACAGAGAAAUUUGGGUUUAAUUUUGGCAAUUUUUUCUAGAUUUUUACGCGAACAAUUUACCCCAAUUGACGUGUACAUGCAUUUUGCAUAAAACAACAAGGCAUACAUAACUUUUUUGAAAUCACAAAAUAUAAAUUAAUAUGUUUGAUAUAUUGUUUAUAACUGUGUCGGUUAAUGGUCAACUAAGCGUGGAUUAUACAUGUAAAAAUGGCAAAGAUAUUUAGGUAAUUACUGGUUAUGACUUCUUGGUAUUUGAAAAAUGUUUUCAAAAUUUGUCCUGUGCGAGUUUAUAGUACUAUUGUCGGAUGUUUUCGCAAAAUGCCCGUUCAAAUUUCAGUUGUUAUAGUGGUAAUUGUUUGGAGUUUUGGCCCUGCUCAUUUCACCCGUAGAGGGCUCAUUAUUUAAGUCAUCCUUAUUGUCAUAAGUGCUGCUAGAUUGUGGAGAAAACACUGCAAAUUCUUGAGGAAACUUUAUAUCAUAUCCCAAUGUUUGCGAUCGAACCUCGUAUACGGCGAGAAUACCGUUCAAAAAACAUCCAGAAUACCGCUUGAAAAAAAAAAAGUUUACAUUAUCUUCUUUUGAAACAUGACAUCCAAGUAUCGUUUUGGCUUUUAGAACUCUUUUAUGCUUUCAACUAAAGCAAAGUUCACACUUUUGUUUCAAAAAAGAGUUCCAUAUAAAACACAACGUUACAGUUCGUAUUUUAGUUUACAUAUAUACGAAGAACGUAACCCCGGAAAUAAAACCCUAGAGAGCCAUCUUAAUACGAUUCAAAAGCUAAUAUUUAUGUAUCAAUCUGCUGAACGAGAAAUAUUAUAAUUGUAGAGUUUCUCCUCAGUCUCCCCCUGUACAAUAAAUUAUGAGCAGUCCCUUAGUGAUGAAUUAAGUCAUUUCAACAGCAAUGACAUAUUGAAAUUUUCUUAGCCCAAUCAUCGUUUUACAAAGGAUGACUGUAUCCCGAGUAGGGUUGGGCGAUAUUAAAAAAUCAUCUCACGAUUAUAUUGUCAAGGAAAUUAUCACGAUAUUCGAUAAUAUCGCGAUAAAUGCAAUAAAAACAAUGGCCACAUUUUUCAAUUUUAAUUAUAUCAAAGCAUAGUAAGCUUAUAUAUAAUCUUAUUAAAAACAAGUAAAACAACAAAUCAAAGUAAUAUGAAGGCUUUUUCUAGUCCUAAUAUUUACUGCUCAUAAACCAGAAUUGAGAAUUGUCUAUACUGUGUCUCCCCUGGCACAAAUGCUGUGUAUUUCAUUGCAAUUUAAUGAAAUUGCAAUGAAAUACACAGCAUUUGUGCCAGCGGCGACACAUUCAGAAAUAUCCCCUGUUCCCCUCUUUUGAUUUGACCAAAAUAUUCCAAUUCAUGUUUUUAUCAUUUGAAAGUAAUUGUUUUGAUUAAAAGAACAAUUUACAAUUUUCAGAAGGUUCACAUUAUUUUUCUACUUAUAGACUCAUAAUUGUGCGACAGAACUCCUAGUUAUAGACUAAAUAAUCUUUACCAUGAGAUUGUGUGGACAACAUAGUUUGAGUUCUUUUAACCAUCCUUGAACUUUUGUUCAAGCCUAGUGACUUAGUACAUGAAAAUCAUCCCACCUUUCAUCCUGUCCUGAUAAACUGGGAUCAUGUAGACAGCACAUUUAGCCAUUAACCCAUUAAGCGCCAGCGCUCUCCCCUUGAUGAGUAAAAUCGUCUGGCGUUAGACAGAGUAAAAUACUAAAGUAGGGUGCAUCAGGGUGCAAUGCGACUCGAUGGGUUAAGUUGAUUUGCACCCUAAUUUACCUACUUAUAUUAUUUAACUCUGUCUAAUGUCAGACAAUUUUAUUAAGCAGGGGGAGCACUAGCAGUUAAUGGGUAUAAACUAGGCAUAUGGGCAUUCUCAUUAUGAAGCAUAAAAUCGUCUGGCGUUGGACAGUAAAAUACUCAAGUAGAGCAUGCAUCAGGGCACUGUAUACAACCUAAUGGUUUAAUUUUUUGUACCAAAAUGGUUUAAGUUUUAUAUCUGAAUUAAUUGAUUUUUUGCCUUGUUUUACAGAUCAUUACUGAUGAAUUGUGACUAUACUAAAUGGAUACAAAGAGACUAUGAUGGAUAAAUAUGGCCCCGUAAUGGGAUAUUCAGUUGAUGGACAUACAAAGGUCACAGAAAUGUCUACUUUCAGGUACUGUUCUUUCUUGUUUGCCUGCAGGCUGUAGAUACUUGUACCCAGGCCAUUGUUUGUUUUGUUGUUCUGGGUACAAUGAAAUCCGGCAUAAAUCCUGGCGGUCUAAAUGUUCAGUAUAUUUACACAUUCAAUCUAUUUUCUGUUCAGUAGACUUUGAUAGCUUGAAUGAAAGUUUACGAUGAUUUUCUUUGCAAAAACUGUACUUUCGAAAUUCAUCAGCUUCUGAAUUUGAAAACGGAUCU
This is a non-coding RNA of Paramuricea clavata, 14514 nucleotides long. NCBI's taxonomy places the organism in Eukaryota, Metazoa, Cnidaria, Anthozoa, Malacalcyonacea, Plexauridae. The record is from the annotation of a GenBank genome assembly.